AUUGAACGCUGGCGGCAGGCCUAACACAUGCAAGUCGAGCGGCAGCACAAGUGAGUUUACUCAUGAGGUGGCGAGCGGCGGACGGGUGAGUAAUGCCUAGGGAUCUGCCCAGUCGAGGGGGAUAACAGUUGGAAACGACUGCUAAUACCGCAUACGCCCUACGGGGGAAAGGAGGGGACCUUCGGGCCUUCCGCGAUUGGAUGAACCUAGGUGGGAUUAGCUAGUUGGUGAGGUAAUGGCUCACCAAGGCGACGAUCCCUAGCUGUUCUGAGAGGAUGAUCAGCCACACUGGGACUGAGACACGGCCCAGACUCCUACGGGAGGCAGCAGUGGGGAAUAUUGCACAAUGGGGGAAACCCUGAUGCAGCCAUGCCGCGUGUGUGAAGAAGGCCUUCGGGUUGUAAAGCACUUUCAGCGAGGAGGAAAGGUUGGUAGCUAAUAACUGCCAGCUGUGACGUUACUCGCAGAAGAAGCACCGGCUAACUCCGUGCCAGCCGCCGCCGUAACAC
Molecule: ribosomal RNA, 509 nt
Filed under: uncultured bacterium
Lineage: Bacteria
Description: bacterial SSU rRNA
Rfam family: Bacterial small subunit ribosomal RNA
Source: RNAcentral